CCUAACACAUGCAAGUCGAACGGUAACAGGAAGAAGCUUGCUUCUUUGCUGACGAGUGGCGGACGGGUGAGUAAUGUCUGGGAAACUGCCUGAUGGAGGGGGAUAACUACUGGAAACGGUAGCUAAUACCGCAUAACGUCGCAAGACCAAAGAGGGGGACCUUCGGGCCUCUUGCCAUCGGAUGUGCCCAGAUGGGAUUAGCUAGUAGGUGGGGUAACGGCUCACCUAGGCGACGAUCCCUAGCUGGUCUGAGAGGAUGACCAGCCACACUGGAACUGAGACACGGUCCAGACUCCUACGGG
This 302-nucleotide ribosomal RNA is filed under the name uncultured bacterium. Its description in RNAcentral is "bacterial SSU rRNA". It matches the Rfam family "Bacterial small subunit ribosomal RNA", at positions 47 to 345 of the family's 1533-position model. The record is from RNAcentral.